This 312-nucleotide unclassified non-coding RNA is filed under the name Hevea brasiliensis (rubber tree). The record is from RNAcentral. Lineage: Eukaryota; Viridiplantae; Streptophyta; Magnoliopsida; Malpighiales; Euphorbiaceae.
CGCCCUCGCAAGAUCGCCAUUCGGCCUGUAAUCCAAUUUCAGCUCCACCGCCAGCCUCAAUUCCUUCAACGAUGUAAAUGCAUUUAGCUGCUGCUCUGCGUAUAUAGGCAAGGUCACAAUAGACACCCCUUACCNNNNNNNAGAUGGAGUUCCGCCCACAAUGAGAUACGAACCCUCCUGUAGGCUAGAACUUCCACCUGCGGUGCCCACCUACAUAUCAUUCCUCUCCCUUCUAUCCGUUCCAAGAAUCCUUGUGGCAACAUCUCCUUUGGAUUCUUGAAUUUAGGGUCUUCAUUCUGUAUUGGAAGAGCU